Long non-coding RNA from Lagopus muta (rock ptarmigan), 267 nucleotides. RefSeq lists it as uncharacterized. The transcript is spliced from 3 exons. The record is from RefSeq and is a predicted model, not a curated record. NCBI's taxonomy places the organism in Eukaryota, Metazoa, Chordata, Aves, Galliformes, Phasianidae.
GGAAGGAUCUCUUCUGGAGAUCACCUCUACUGGUGUUUUGUGGGUGAGCCCAGCAUAAGGUAUCCUAGGGGGAGCUGAGAUAUGAUGGGAGAACCCAAGAAGUUACAGCCUAAAACAGGCAGGACCCUGCCCUGGCUAUCCCACUGGGAUGAUGGAUAAGAAUGAAGACCAGGAGAGCAGGGAUGGCAGAGGCAAACAUCAUCCACAAUGGAAAGGUCCCAUUGCUGCCCAUGGGGUGAAUGAACCAGCCACGCUUGUGAGGAGAUG